Molecule: long non-coding RNA, 313 nt
Organism: Hemicordylus capensis (graceful crag lizard)
Lineage: Eukaryota; Metazoa; Chordata; Lepidosauria; Squamata; Cordylidae
Exons: 3
Source: RefSeq, a predicted model, not a curated record
GGCAGCAGAGAUAUGCACAAAACUGGGUUGCCUGGUUCAGUUCAAGACCAGACUCGAACUGGACUAGGCAUGUUUGGCUUUGGAUAUCCCUGAACACCCCCCAGUUCUGUUUGGGUUCAGACAAAAAUGCCAUGGAUCUUGGGAUAUCUAUAAAUUGAUUUCUAAAAACCCAUUGCAUCUGGAAGUGUCACUGGGAGACCAGCAGAUGGUCAUCAUUGGAUGAUGUAUGACUUGCAGCAGAUAUUCUUAACCACAGAACAAUACCCAGAAGUUUGAGGAACAUGAAGCUCAAGUCCAUUAUAUUGCUUCUUCU